UCUCCAUGAUGACAAUUAAUUCAGUUCUGCUACUGAAGAAUUUUGACGAUAACAAAAAUACCAAAACCACUGAAAA
Small nucleolar RNA from Scaptodrosophila lebanonensis, 76 nucleotides. Lineage: Eukaryota; Metazoa; Arthropoda; Insecta; Diptera; Drosophilidae. The record is from RefSeq and is a predicted model, not a curated record.